This 3866-nucleotide long non-coding RNA is filed under the name Equus caballus (horse). Its description in RNAcentral is "lncRNA (ENSECAG00000059950.1)". Lineage: Eukaryota; Metazoa; Chordata; Mammalia; Perissodactyla; Equidae. The record is from RNAcentral.
GGAAGGUCCUGGAAGGUUGUUGGGCACAUGCUGAUGGAUGACCAGUGAGAGGUCCCUGUGCCAGCUCUGAGCCCAGCCUCCCACACCCCCUCACUGCUGGGGGAACUCAGAAGGCUGGGAUGGCCCAUCCACCCUGCUCUUCUCCAUGGGACCUGACGCUGGUGAGCUGAGCACAGGGCCCCCGCGUCACAUGAGGAAGCCUAAGGCGUUGCUGAGUAGACCAAGGGCGACACUGGCUUUGGCAAUGAUACGACUGGAGGCUCUAGGUCAGCGGUCACCGGGCGUGCGACUUCCGGCUGCUCCAUCAGGCGAGCGGGCGGGGCAGCAGCGAAUCAGCUGACAGGUUCUGGAGAAGCUUCCAGCCGGCUGCUCUGUUGUUCUCUGAAUGCAGACGGUGGUGGAGCCCUGUCUUGGCCCGCAGCCGUUAGGAUAUUUCUCAGGGAAAGCCCUUGGACCAAGAAGUCUGUUUUUUCGUUGGAAACUAUGAGACUCUCUGCAAAAACAAAGGAAUUUGGAUUCUGUUCAGGAAAAAUGUAACCUACAAACAAAUAGCCUUGGAAAAUCUGUGCCUCCCCCUCGGUGCCUGGGUCAGGCACAGGGACAGCCCCACCCCCGAGCUGCUUUCGAGCUGGAGGCCACCUCCUUUUUCCUCUUCUGUGUGUUGUCUCUGGCUGCCCAGAGGGCAGUGCCUCCUCUCCAUGCCUUCCCCUGCCCUGCCGCCCAGGGCCCCUGUCUCUGCAGUGCCCUUGAUCUGGUUGGAAUGCUCUUCCCUUCCCUCGCUGCAACCCUUCCUCAUUCUUUAAGACCCAGUUCCAAUGUCUCCCCUCCGGUUCUGAGUUCCCCAGGUGGCUAGUUGCUCUGCUAUUAUGUUGCUCUGAAUAAUUUCGAAUUUAAAUAUACUUCCCUUUUCUUUCAGAUAGCAAUCCCUGAUUUUAUUCUUUUAGGAAAUAUGGUAAUAAUACUGACUGCCACUCUUAAACUCUUGCUAUGUGCCAAGCGGGGUUGUACAUUAUGGUACCCACUGCAUGCGCAAAGUGAUUAGGAAAAAACUGGCACAUAGUGAGGAGUCAGUAAAAGUUACUUCUUAUUAUCCUUCUUUUAUCUUAAUUCUCGCAUAGCACUUGCAGCAAGUAAGAUUUGUCAUGCACAUUAUGAUGAUCGGGUUCCUCGUCUGUGAGCUCCUUGAAGGUGGGGACUGUGUCUUCUUGCUUGUCCAAGUCUGUGGACGUGCAAAGGGUGUUUGGUGAGUGAACAUUUAGCCAUUGAAACUGAUGACUGAGUGCCGAGAUUUACUUUGUGAGUUUCCAAAUCAACUGAGAGUGGCUUUGGCCUUAAGAAUAGGUAUGGGGACUCAGAAGAUCUGGGCUUAAUUCUAUUCCAGCUACCUGCCAGCUUUGUGACCUUGGGUACAUCAGCCAAUCUUUUCUGAACCCAAAAACCUAUUUUUCAAAAUGGGUGUCAUAGUCCCUAACUUGCCUUCCUCACAGGUUUUCCUUGAGCGUCAGAUGAGCUCACACAUAGGAGAGUUUUGUGAAUUGUAAAGUAUUUUACACACGUGAGACAUUAUUGUUGGAAUCAUUUUGGACCCCGUGCCAUCACCACCAAACGUGGCAGAAUAUGAGCCCUCGGGUAGCUCUAGCUGGACAAAUAGCAAUGUGCUGCUUUUGGUUUUCACAGUGUUUAAAAAUGUAGUCCCGUAAUGUUUGUAACCGGUGUUUCUUCUCCUCAAAGCAUGCAUCCAAGGUAUUAGUCUCAGUCCUUUUAAAGGUUUUAAAAAGGGCCUUGAUUUUCCUGCUUGGCUGCUGUAAAAUCUAUAACCCUGAACGUCACGGUGACGUUCUCUCUCAGGAAACGUCCGCAAGAAUUGUAACUGAACAAAAACAGUAUUUAUUUUCCUUUUUAAUUCAAGAAGCUAAAUGCUAGGGAGUAGAAGGAGAGAUGAGAAGAAGUGUAAGAGAUGGGCUUGCUCUCAGGGAGCUCACAGGCUGGUUUGGGAGCCGGGUCUGGGUCCUAGGCUUGUGGGCAAAGGACGUGAUCUGAGGAAGGAGAGACCUGCAGUGUUGAGGUGGUCUGUGAAGGUUGCAGGGAGAAAGCGGGCCUGUGUUAAGCUUAAAGGAAGACCAUUGUUUGGACCACGACCCUGGGAGCAUAAUUCAUAAGCCAGGGCCCGGCCGCUGACUACUGCUGCUCUCAGUUCCCCUUUCAGCAGGAUUGUGAUUUCUUUAGUUCUUGGGGGCUCAGGAGGAAGACAUGAGGACGUUCUAGACAUGCACUCACGGACAAACGUCUGAAUCCAAAAAACUAAUAUUUUGUGACCGAUGCUUUCAUGAUGAGGAAAUAAAAACUCCUUACUUUUUUUUUAAAAAACGUUUUGGCCGUGAUGUACUUGGCUUAAAAGAUGUCAGAAAGAAAGCCGUUUAUAGAGAAUCGUAAUACUCUAACUUCAGCAUAACGCUAACAACAAAGGUGCCCCUGGAUCGCUAAGGUUAACACACACUGCUGAGAAUAUGGGAUGGCAGUAACAAGAACCCAAAGAAGGAAAUAUUAAAAAUACGCAAUUAGGAACUAUUUAGGAAAGAAAGUGAGAACACCAGGUCUGGAAAUGUAUACAACACAGCCAAAGCCGUAGUCAGAGGUAAAUUCAAAGCAUUAAUGCUAUCACUUAAGAAUAAGAAUAAAUGAAAAGAAAGUAACUACAUGUCUAACUUAAGAAUUUAGAAAAUGGGGGCCGGCCCGGUGGCGCAGCGGUUAAGUUCACACGUUCUGAUUCUCGGUGGCCCGGGGUUCAGUGGUUCGGAUCCUGGAUGCGGACAUGGCGCCGCUUGGCACGCCCUGCUGAGGUAGGCGUCCCACGUAUAAAGUAGAAGGAGAUGGGCAUGAUGUUAGCUCAGGGCCAGGCUUCCUCAGCAAAAAAGAGGAGGACUGCCAGUAGUUAGCUCAGGGCUAAUCUUCCUCAAAGAAAGAAAUAAAUAAAAGAAUUUAGAAAAUGGGCAGCAAAACAAGACCAAGAAAAGCAAGACAAUAAAAAAUACAAGGAUGAUAAGUGAAUUAGAAAAUCAACAAAGUAGGAGAAUUCGUAAAUAAAUCCAUAAGAUGGUUCUUUGGAGGGCAACGUAAAAUAGGAAAACCUCUAGAAAAUCUGCUUAAGAGAAAAAAAUCAAAUAACUAAUAUCUGAAAAAUUUCUACUGUUUGUAAAGCAUGUCCCCAUUCCGUAUCACUCUUGGUCGCUAAGCUAAUCCUGUCUGUUAUAUAUUUGUAUCCCUAUUUUGCUAGUGAUCAAACUGAGAAUCAAACAAGUGAGGUUACUUUUUAGGGUCAUACAACUAGUGAGUAGUUAAAGCCGUGAUUUGAAGCAGGUCUGCUAACUUUGUUGAAUAUUCUUCCAAUCAUCCCAUAGCAUCCUCUCAGGAUGAAUUCAAGAAAGGAAGAGUGGAACAUUUAGCAUGUCUCCGUUGGUCUCCUGGGACCGCCGUAACACAUCACCACGCAUUCCUGCUGGCUUGGAGCAAUAGGAAUUUCUUCUGUCACAGUUCUGGAGCCUAGAAGUCCAAAACCAAGUUGUGAGCAGGGCCAUGCUCCCUCUGAAGGCUCUCGGGGAGAGUCCUCGCUGUCUCUCCCAGCCUCUGGAGGUGGCCGUAGUCCUUAGUGUCCUCGACUUGCAGCUCUAGCAUCUAACUUCUGCCCCCAUCUUCCCAGGGUUUUCUCCCUCUGUGUCUUGACUUUGUCUCCAUCUGCGCAUAUGUCUCCUCUGUUUUCCCUUCUUGUGAGGAGUUAGUUUUCCAAAUCUACAAUUUUCCUUUCAGUAUAACUUCAUCUUAAUUGUGUCUGCUAUGACCCUAUUUCCAAAUAAAGUUACAUUCUGAGA